UAUGUGUGUGUGUGUAUAUAUAUAUAUGUGUGUGUUGAUUGUGCCAUUGGUAUUAAAUUUAAUUUCGAGUGGUAUUAAAAAUGUCUUAAAGUCUUAAAUUUAACUUGAGCUGUAGAAACACUGUACUAGUACGGUAGUAGUGGCAUGAAAAGUAAACAUAUGUCCAUAAUACCUUAGGUUGUUUCUUAUGCAGGUUCUCUUUGGCUAUGGUUCGAGAUUUCCAAACCGCUUGACAGCAUUUGGAGAUUGUUCGACGUCGUUGAGAUUCGUCGUAGAGUAUCAGCAUUAUCCCAUCACACACAUCUUUCUCUCUUUCUCACUUUAUCUCUGCUCUCUUCAUCCUGUUUGCAGAUUAUAUAUAACAUAAAAUACAAGACUAGGUUACCUUAUCUUAGAUUAAAAUAGAUUUGGGGUUAGUAUUUAGGGUUAGGCCAGGCAAAGUUGUUUUAAACAACACACUUCUUCUAAACUGAGACAUAGCAACACUGUCCACACUGUCUAAGCUUCAAUGUGUUUAUUAUCGGCCUUCAGACCUUUAGAACGUCACUCCCAGGUGGACAGUUGUGGAGUUUGGAUGAUGUGCGUGCCAACUUUUGUACACGCUGCGGUACUGGUUACCGCCAUCGAGUGCUGCCAUGGCCAAUUUCGCCCUUCACUGGGCACAGCCACAAAUUGGUCAUGCCACCUGAGUCUCCUGACAAGAAGUUUGUUCUGAUUGUCGGAGACUCCCAUCUACGAGCCAUUGUAGAUGGAUUUGGUCCAGAUGCCAGAGGAGCCCUGUUCCUUUGGCCACAUGUCGACCCCGUUCCUUGGAUCCCUGAUGCCGUUUGUCUUCUGGCGCCAAGGAACAACUUGACGGCCAGCAGGACCAUCGAGGAGCCCGCUUGUUGACUACACUAAGCUCCUCAUUGGCAUUUGUAGCUGCUGGCCCAACGUCUUUGUUGUUGACUUCCCUCCCCGCCUGACCUGUGAGGUGUUUUACCAGGACCUCCUUCGUCAGCAGUACCACCGCAUUCCAGCGCGUAUGGGUAUGUAAAAAAAAAAAAAAAAAAAGGUUUUAAAAUGUUAUAUCUUCUUUGCAAGCAGUUUGAAUAAAAAUUGACUGAAAAUAUAUAUUGAGUUAUACUAAUGAAUAAUAAUAAUAAUAAUUUUAUUUUGUAGGUGUGAAGUACUUCUCAGCUGUGGAGUACUUUCACCAUAGCCAGCUGCAGCUGUGGAGCAGGCAUGGUGUAAAUAGGAUAUCCUUGUGUGGGAAAAAAUGUCUGGCAGCAAGCUGCUUUUUGUGUAUAAAACUUGGUCUGUAAAUGAAUUUGGUUCUGUCAUUUGUGCAGGUCCAUCUGAGCACCCCGGGUCUCUCCCAGGCCUUCACCACCAGUCAGGAAAUUCUCUCCUAAGCUGGUUGUGAAGGAAGAGGUCCCUUCUCCACGGUCACCUGACCCUUUCAGUGGCAGCCAGCUAGUCAUGGCCACAAUGUAAUUGUUACGGUGUAAUACAAGCCAGCCUGGUGAACCGUCCCAUGCCCAGGGUUCAGCCCAGACCAGGAUGGCUCAGC
Molecule: long non-coding RNA, 1552 nt
Organism: Mugil cephalus (flathead mullet)
Lineage: Eukaryota; Metazoa; Chordata; Actinopteri; Mugiliformes; Mugilidae
Exons: 5
Source: RefSeq, a predicted model, not a curated record